UACGAAGGGGGCUAGCGUUGCUCGGAAUUACUGGGCGUAAAGGGAGCGUAGGCGGAUGUUUAAGUCAGAGGUGAAAGCCCAGGGCUCAACCUUGGAACUGCCUUUGAUACUGGGCAUCUUGAGUAUGGGAGAGGUGAGUGGAACUCCGAGUGUAGAGGUGAAAUUCGUAGAUAUUCGGAAGAACACCAGUGGCGAAGGCGACUCACUGGCCCAUUACUGACGCUGAGGCUCGAAAGCGUGGGGAGCAAACAG
RNAcentral lists this ribosomal RNA (252 nucleotides) under uncultured bacterium. Its description in RNAcentral is "partial 16S ribosomal RNA". It matches the Rfam family "Bacterial small subunit ribosomal RNA", at positions 524 to 775 of the family's 1533-position model. The record is from RNAcentral.